AUACGUAGGUGGCAAGCGUUGUCCGGAAUUAUUGGGCGUAAAGCGCAUGUAGGCGGUUUGGUAAGUCGGUCGUGAAAAUGCGGUGCUUAACGCCGUAUGGCGAUUGAAACUGCUGAACUUGAGUGCAGGAGAGGAAAGGGGAACUCCCAGUGUAGCGGUGAAAUGCGUAGAUAUUGGGAAGAACACCGGUGGCGAAGGCGCCUUUCUGGACUGUGUCUGACGCUCAGAUGCGAAAGCCAGGGUAGCGAACGGGAUUAGAUACCCCGGUAGUCCUGGCCGUAAACGAUGGGUACUAGGUGUGGGAGGUAUCGACUCCUUCCGUGCCGGAGUUAACGCAAUAAGUACCCCGCCUGGGGAGUACGGCCGCAAGGCUUAAACUUAAAGGAAUUGACGGGG
This 396-nucleotide ribosomal RNA is filed under the name uncultured bacterium. Its description in RNAcentral is "partial 16S ribosomal RNA". It matches the Rfam family "Bacterial small subunit ribosomal RNA", at positions 523 to 918 of the family's 1533-position model. The record is from RNAcentral.